Molecule: non-coding RNA, 417 nt
Organism: Castor canadensis (American beaver)
Lineage: Eukaryota; Metazoa; Chordata; Mammalia; Rodentia; Castoridae
Source: the annotation of a RefSeq genome assembly
AUGGAGUUGGGGCUAGCUGGAUUUUCCUUUAUUGCUAUUUUAAAAGGUGUCCAAUGUGAGGUGCAGCUGGUAGAGUCUGGGGAGCUUGGUGAAGCCUGGGGGUCCCUAAAACUCUCCUGUGCAGCCUCUGGAUUCACCUUCAGUAGCUAUGCUAUGCACUGGGUCCGCCAGGCUCCAGAAAAGAGCCUGGAGUGGCUCUCAUACAUUAGUGGUAGUGGUGGUAGCACAAGUUAUGCAGACUCCGUGAAGGGCAGAUUCACCAUCUCCAGAGACAAUAACAAAAACACAUUGUAUCUGCAAAUUAACAGCCUGAAAGACGACUACACUGCUACAUAUUACUGUGCAAAAGACACAGUGUGUGAACUUCAGUGUGAGCCCAGGCACAAACCUACCUGCAGGGACGCGCACAACCAGUAG